Small nucleolar RNA from Eutrema salsugineum, 128 nucleotides. It matches the Rfam family "Plant small nucleolar RNA U3". Rfam says of the family: Small nucleolar RNAs (snoRNAs) are involved in the processing and modification of rRNA in the nucleolus. Lineage: Eukaryota; Viridiplantae; Streptophyta; Magnoliopsida; Brassicales; Brassicaceae. The record is from Rfam.
ACGACCUUACUUGAACAGGAUCUUGUCUAUAGGCUCAUACUUCUGUAUCCUUGAUUUCUAAGGAGACAGGCCCUAAACCCUGGUGGUCUUACCCUAGCCGGGGUGGUCGCACGGCGGUCUGACAGGUU